RNAcentral lists this ribosomal RNA (253 nucleotides) under uncultured bacterium. Its description in RNAcentral is "partial 16S ribosomal RNA". It matches the Rfam family "Bacterial small subunit ribosomal RNA", at positions 524 to 776 of the family's 1533-position model. The record is from RNAcentral.
GACGAAGGAUGCAAGCGUUAUCCGGAUUCAUUGGGUUUAAAGGGAGCGUAGGCGGCCUUAUAAGUCAGUGGUGAAAUCUCCUCGCUUAACGAGGAAGUUGCCAUUGAUACUGUAGGGCUUGAGUACAGUUGCCGUUGGCGGAAUAUGACAUGUAGUGGUGAAAUACAUAGAGAUGUCAUAGAACACCGAUUGCGAAGGCAGCUAACGAAACUGUAACUGACGCUGAGGCUCGAAAGUGCGGGGAUCAAACAGG